AUUGGCCCUUUGUUUAUAUUUGAUUUUUAUCGGAGUUUACUCGGAAACGAUCUUGUUACGAUGAUGUAACGAUUAUAUAAUCAUUAUAAUUUCAGGGAAAUAAUAUAAAAAAAAAAUUUAAAAAAAUACUUUGAACUAAUUUUACUGACUACAGAAAAUUGAAAGUAUUCACAAAAUUCAAAGUAUUCAAAACUGAAAAUCUAAAGCGGACCGGAUCAAGCAAGCUUUCAAGCCCCUUCUUUGUUUUUUAUCCAAUGGCAGGGUGUUCAAAUGCAGGUUACCGUCUCAUAAACCGAACUAAUGCACUGUUGUUGCCAAACAGCUAUCGACAUGCAGCUCAUGUCAUGUUGCAUAGUCCUUGCCAAGAUGGUAGAAAACUGUUUGGCCACUAUCAUCCUCGUCAUGCUGUCCUACUACAAUUAAGAUUUGAUGGAACUAUUGGUUUUCCGGGUGGCUUUAUAGAAGCUGAAGAAUCAAUAGAAACUGGUUUACGACGAGAAAUAGUUGAAGAAUUAGGCGCAGCCGCUGGGGCAAUAGAUUUAACGGAAAAAGAUCAUGUAGUUUCACAUAUAUGUCCUAACAAACCUGUUUGUUUGCACUUUUACUGCAAGAAAAUUGAGCUAGGUUAUUUACAGAAUAUUGAGAAAGAAGUUCAUGACUCACCACAGUAUGGACUAGAGACCCUUGGCGUUAUUCGAUGUCCUCUAUACACGAUGAAUGAUGAACGAGGAGGUUUGCCAUCAUUUUUGAGAAAUAAUUUCAUUGGCAAUGCCAGAGAACAGCUGCUUCAUGGUCUGAAUCACGAAGGACUUAUGUCGGAAGAGGAAAUCAAUAUCGCAGUAAAACUAAGUAGUAAAUUGGAAGGAUUUGAGUAAACGCAACCCAAGGCUCCGUUUUCAUUAUUUCAACAAUCUUUAAUAUCAGGAGAAGCAAAGAGAGAUGCUUUUUCUGCAUCUAGAAAAAGACUUCGGAGAUAAAUGGCCAGGCUUAUCGCCACAAUUAUAUUGAUGUAAACAGAAACGGUCAUAACCCAAUAUCUCUUUCAGGUGAUACAAAAAGUAAAAUCAUCGCCCAUGUGCCGCGCUACGACUUUUUUCCUUUAAUACAAGGUGUUAGGCACUGGUGCUUGCCUGUCAUUUGUUUGUGCGCCUCUUUUAAAAAAGACACUUUCACAUAAAUUUGAGCACGAAAUAAUGG
RNAcentral lists this unclassified non-coding RNA (1197 nucleotides) under Dendronephthya gigantea. RNAcentral's name for it is "U8 snoRNA-decapping enzyme-like, transcript variant X2". Lineage: Eukaryota; Metazoa; Cnidaria; Anthozoa; Malacalcyonacea; Nephtheidae. The record is from RNAcentral.